GAAUCUAACCAUACUCUCUCUCUCUCUCUCUUUUUUUUCACUCUCUGUCGACAGGGUCUGUCUCUCUUUACCUUUAUUUUUUUUUCUUCUGAAAACUCAAUCUCUCCAUAGAUUCUCUCUCAAUCUCUUAAUCUCUAUCAACAAAAUAAUUUUUUUUUCCUCUUCCUCAUUCAUCUUCGUGAUUUUUUUCUUCUGAUUUAAUGUUUUUUUGUUUCUUCUCUUCUACUCAUCUGUUUUUAGAUUUGUUUUUUUUUGUUUCCAGAUCUGCGAAAAUGGUACUGUGAUAACUGAAGGUGGUGGUGUGACGACCGAGAGAGCAAGACAACAGAGGACAUGGCUGAGGGCGUGGCUCGUCGCUGCAUCUCUCUCUCUCUCUGUUCGUUUUAGAUUGUUGGAGGCUGGAGUAAGAGAACGAACAGAGGGUUGAGGUGUAUGCUCUGGUGGCUGGAGGCGGAGGACUAGGGUUACGGAGCUGGAGGCGGAGGAUUAGGGUUACAGAACUAGAGGCGGAAGCUCGGGGAAUGGUGGUUUAGGUCUAGGUUAAUUGGGUUUUGGUUUAAUGUUUGUAAUUUAUUUUUUCUUUAAUGUGUUCUUUAGUUAUUUUGUAUGAUGAUUAAAAUUAAUAAAAUAAAUUUUAAUUUUUAA
This is a long non-coding RNA of Raphanus sativus (radish), 645 nucleotides long. RefSeq lists it as uncharacterized. Lineage: Eukaryota; Viridiplantae; Streptophyta; Magnoliopsida; Brassicales; Brassicaceae. The record is from RefSeq and is a predicted model, not a curated record. The transcript is spliced from 2 exons.